This is a small nucleolar RNA of Abrus precatorius (Indian licorice), 107 nucleotides long. NCBI's taxonomy places the organism in Eukaryota, Viridiplantae, Streptophyta, Magnoliopsida, Fabales, Fabaceae. The record is from RefSeq and is a predicted model, not a curated record.
AUGCAGUGAUGACGACAUUUCCUUAAUAACUCCUUGUAUCUUUCCCAUGCUUCACACAAUGGCUCUCCUUCUUGCUGAGCAAAAGAUGUAAUCUCCCCUCUGAUUUU